CCAAUAGCGUAUAUUAAAGUUGUUGCAGUUAAAAAGCUCGUAGUUGAAUUUCAGGCCUGGCUGGACGGUCCGCCCUUCGGGUGAGUACUGUCUGUGGUCGGGUCCUACCUUCUGGCGAAGCGUCAUGGCCUUAACCGGCCGUGGCGGGGAACCAGGACUUUUACUGUGAAAAAAUUAGAGUGUUCAAAGCAGGCAAUCGCUUGGAUACAUUAGCAUGGAAUAAUGGAAUAGGACAAUGGUUCUAUUUGUUGGUCUCUAGGACCGUUGUAAUGAUUAAUAGGGAUAGUUGGGGGCAUUAGUAUUCAAUUGUCGGAGGUGAAAUUCUUGGAUUUAUUGAAGACUAACUACUGCGAAAGCAUUUGCCAAGGAUGUUUUCAUUAAUCAAGAACGAAAGUUAGGGGAUCGAAGACGAUCAGAUACCGUCGUAGUCUUAACCAUAAACUAUGCCGACUAGGAAUCGGGCGAUGUUGAAAAAAUGACGCGCUCGGCACCUCAUG
This 497-nucleotide ribosomal RNA is filed under the name uncultured Glomeromycotina. Its description in RNAcentral is "partial small subunit ribosomal RNA". It matches the Rfam family "Eukaryotic small subunit ribosomal RNA", at positions 591 to 1092 of the family's 1831-position model. Lineage: Eukaryota; Fungi; Glomeromycota. The record is from RNAcentral.